RNAcentral lists this small nuclear RNA (101 nucleotides) under Peromyscus maniculatus bairdii (prairie deer mouse). Lineage: Eukaryota; Metazoa; Chordata; Mammalia; Rodentia; Cricetidae. The record is from RNAcentral.
GUGCUCGCUUCGGCAGCACAUAUACUAAAAUUAGAACAAUACAGAGAAGAUUAGCAUGGUCCCUACACAAGGAUAACAAGCAUGAAGAGCAAUACAGCAUC